RNAcentral lists this long non-coding RNA (642 nucleotides) under Fragaria vesca (wild strawberry). Its description in RNAcentral is "long non-coding RNA (FVES_LNC002844)". The record is from RNAcentral. Lineage: Eukaryota; Viridiplantae; Streptophyta; Magnoliopsida; Rosales; Rosaceae.
GGUUGCUUGAUGAUUCUCUCGAGAACCAUGGACUCCAGGCGAGGUUACAGGCUUCUGAAACCUCUGCAGGAUCGCGGCUUCAAAGUUCAUGCAGUGACACCAGACUUGUCAUUUCUGUUCAAGAACACCCCAGCCGAGGCCUGGUUUGCUGAGAUGAAGAAAGGCAUCAAAGACCCUGGUGAGAUUCCAUUAGCUCAGAACCUGUCUAAUUUAAUGAGACUAGCAGUUCUAUACAAGUAUGGAGGUGUGUACCUGGACACAGAUUUCAUCGUCAUGAAAUCGUUUUCCGGGUUGAGGAACUCAAUCGGUGCACAAAGUAUGGAUGCUGAGAUGAAACACUGGACCAGACUAAAUAAUGCAGUGCUGGUGUUUGAUAUGAAUCAUCCUCUUCUGCACAAAUUCAUUGAGGAGUUUUCCUUGACUUUUGAUGGGAAUAAAUGGGGUCAUAAUGGACCCUAUCUUGUUUCCAGAGUGGUCCAGAGAGUGGAAAACAGACCUGGAUAUAACUUUACAGUCCUGCCUCCAAUGGCUUUCUAUCCUGUGGAUUGGACUAGAAUAGGGGGAUUGUUUAAGAAGCCGAAAAACCAUGCUGAUACUAAAUGGAUAAAAGCAAAGCUGCUUCAGCUUAGCGGGGAGACUUAC